Apus apus (common swift) is the source of this 3660-nucleotide long non-coding RNA. RefSeq lists it as uncharacterized. Lineage: Eukaryota; Metazoa; Chordata; Aves; Apodiformes; Apodidae. The transcript is spliced from 6 exons. The record is from RefSeq and is a predicted model, not a curated record.
UGCAAACCUCUUUCUGAUGAUUUCUAGUCCCUAAUUUGCCUUCCUCUGUCCUUACUCAGUGCCAAGAAGUGACACUGGAGCUCUAGUGAAGCAGCAAUUGUGAGUUUAUCUGCAUCUCCAAGCAGUAGGUCUAGGAUGACCAUGGGAUUCCACCUUCUUUCCUAGGCAGGAGCAGAAGGAAGUGAGCUCCUGUCAGCACCUUCUUUGCUUCGCCUGUGCCGAAUCAGCUCGCCCAGAAGGAGUGGGCUCCAUGGAACUCCAAUAGUCAAAGCCAUCGCACGAGGCUUCCUACAGAGUUACAUGGAUGUGCAGGCACCAGGACCUGUCCAGGAAAAGACCUCUGCAGGCAACGUGCAACCAGCCCUCAGCUCGACUGCCCACGGGCCCCACAGCCCCUCUGCACAAGCCAUCUUCUGCAUGAGGAACAGAAAUGGCCUUCUGCAGGUCAACGGCCCUUCAUCUUUCUGCUCUUACUGGUGCUGUUGACCUCAGUUGCUUGUGGGCUCCUCUACACUCUACCAAGAUGCAACAUUUGACUUCUCUGCUGUCUCUGAUCACAGUCUUCUCCCAUCCAAGGGAUGCUCUCUCCAGUCCUGUCUGCUUUCUACCAGGCAUUAGUCACAACUGGAGACUGGAUUAAUUUACUGAUAUUGUACAAGGAAUAGCCUCCCCUGGAGACCUGGCUGAUGUGAUCAAGAACUCACAAAUGGUAUCUAACCAAACGUCCAUUCAGGAGGAGAGUACCAGCAGAAGCAGAGGAGAGAGAUGGAAAAUGCCUUUCUCUUGAUGGAAAGAUGUGGUGUGCAUAGGGCCGUGCAGCCUGGAAUGCUAAUGGGAAUAAGAGAGCAGCAUCAUGCUUCUACUAGUGAGGAAUGACAAAACCUGAUGAACUUAGGAAGAGGUGUCCUGGCUGGGUAAUAGUUACUUGACCUCCAGCAGAAGGAAGAUGAAGAUCUCUCUGCCAGUAGAGAAUUCCUGUGAAUGGCAAGCCACAGCAGUGCAACCUUACCUACUAGAAGGUGAGCAACCCACCAGCUGCUGGAGGUAGAUCCUGCUCCUUAUUUCCAAUGGAAAUUGUUGUCACCACCUAAGGAGAGGAUGAGGUAUGAGGGGCUGCCCUGGAUCUAAUCCAGUUAGUGUAUUUUUAUCUCACUGGGGAUUUUCAAGGAGCUAUCAUCAGUAUAUGACUUUUGUGCAACCAGAGCUGCAUUAAUCAAGAGUGAUCUUUGGCCUAAUGAAUGUGCUAGUAAUAAGAGGUCAUCCAAUGUUCAGAUUCCAUCUGAUUCAGGUUUUGCUCAGAUCUGCACCCAGGGCAGAUAGGCACAGCCUUUGAAUCUAGGCACUUUCCACCUCUCUGAAUAUAUUGGAAAGAUUGCAGUGCCCUUGAUAUCUGCAUGAGAGAAGGAUUUGUCUGACAGCCUAUACAGAUGUCUGGUGUGGAGCUCAAUGGUUGUGAUGAACUUGGGUAGGCUGCAAAAUGGAUGGAGGAAAUGUCUCUGUUAAAAACAUCUCCAAGGAAAGACAGGAGCUGUGAGUAACUGGGAGAGGUGGGAGCACAGACUCAGCUGAACUGCCUUUCCCAGAGCCUGCUUAGCAUAGAUCAAGGCCCUCAUCUAUAAUUGACUAGGGGGAUGUUUUACAAGUUCCCUUUCUGGUAUAGAGAGGUAUGAAAUCUGUAAUUAAGUUAAUUUGGACUUGAACAUGGGCAAAGAUAAUGGGCUGGAAAUAACAAAAGAAGAGUUAGGAAAGAGAGGAAGGUGUUGCCAAGAAACAGAUCUAUUGCACUAAGUCCUCUUUUCCCCCUCCCCCCCAUAUCAAAUAAACCAUUUCUAGGAGCUGGGUGGCUGACUGAUGGGACAGGCAGAGCUCAGGUGUGGAAAUGAUUGCUGUAUCAAGAGCUCAGACAAAUGAAGGAGUUGAGAGUUAUGACUCUUCCUCAGAGAACCGAGAAAGGCAAAAGUGGGAGGAAAAUAAUUUCUUUAGCAGGUGACAGCUGUGAGCAGUAGAGUUUAGUGGCAGAGCAGUGGUUUUGGGAUCAGCAGAGUGGUGUUCUGUGCCUGACUUUCCUCCUCCCCACUGGAGUCAAGCACCACUGUGAAGACUUAAGAUUGUUUCUCAGUGGCUUUUAGAAAUUAUAUAAAAUGUGGCAUGUUCAAGCCAAAGGGAAAAUGGAAAAGAGGUCUGCAGAAAGGACCAGAAUACUUAACAGCCAGGAAAGCAUAAGUAAAUAGACAGGUUAUGAUCAAUGAGUUUGUUUGAAUUUGACAGAGCUUUUCUGCAAACAUGGGGGAGGGAAGGGGGGGUGUGAAACCUUCCCCACCACUGUGAGCUGUAAUAAAGGACCUUCUGUUUUCUGAUCCUCACUCUCUGUGAAAAUUGAAAAGGUUAGCCAGGUAAUUGAAAUCGGGACUGGAAUACAAAUACAGUGUGAAAACCCUACAGGUGACAGAUAAAGUUGCAGGGAAAAGAACGAGUCCUUAGUGGAAUUUCUUAGCUGCAAAAAGUCAGGGGUGGAUGAAGGGGAGUGCUGGUUCUUCAAUAUACCUGUUCCUCUUGGGAGGGGAGAUGUGGAAGAAAUGAGAUCUGAAGAGAGCAGACUGAUGCUCACACUUCAAUGAGAGUUCCUUGCUGUAAAUCAUGUAUCCCUGUCGUUUCUGCCUUGGAGCAAUGUAGUAGGUUACCUGGGAAUUGGUAGGUUACCUGGGAAUUGGUAGGUUGCCAUGUCAGACCCAACUUAGGGACUAUUUCUUGUUACAUGCAGAAAGGGAGAACGCGACAGGAGUCAGUCCCUCCUCUCGGGGCUGAAAUACAUAAGCAAACUAGAUGCAACUUGACCGAUGUCAACUGCCUCUUCAUCUUUGCUGUGUGCAGGAACACAAACUGAUUUGCAUUCCUUUAGCCUAAGAGCAGGGAGAGAAAGCAGCUGAUUCCUUGUUACACUGUGUGCUUUAAGUCUCAGUGGAGGGUCUUGUCAUUGCUAUUGUAAUGUAAAAUUCUAUGUGUUGUUAUAUGGUCUGUUUUCCUGCAGGAGCAGGUAAUCUGAGCUGGGAGGAAAGAGUGGUGCCGGGCUUGGGGGAAGCUGAGGCUUGUGAAUUUUGAGUUAUUGAGGUAGCAAAACCUGCCUUCAGUUAACAAUCAUAUGCCCCCAGACAUGCAUAAAUUGGCAAAACAGAUUAUAUAUUUUCCAGAAUGGGCAAACUCCGAGCACGGGUUAUUUUAAUUCCUAGUUUUAUUUGUGAGACUCAUAUGCAACUGAACUCAAUUUAAUUGUAGAAGUUAAAUGCAACUACCUCAGCUUUAAUUCUAGGCAGCCCCACUCUAACAAUUAGAGAGACCCACUCACAGCACAUAUUGCAAAUCCAGCUGAGGUAACUGACUGUGUCUCUGUUAGGUGUGAAGCUCUGAUUUGAAAUAAAACCUCUUAAUAUGGGCUACAGUUCAAACAUAAGAGGUUGAGGUUUUUCUGAUAACGGAGAAAUCAGGUCUAAGUUUAAUUUGUGUAUCUGCUGGUAGAUGAAUUGUUAAGUGUGAAUUUGUGGUGUUAGCCAAGUUGGUUCACGUUCAGAAACACCCUCUGCAGGUAGCAUUUGCUUAGCACAAUGUCGACUAGCAGAAACUCCAGUCUGUAAGUGGUUAAAUAAACAAUAACUAUACCUCCAA